AUUGAACGCUGGCGGCAUGCUUUACACAUGCAAGUCGAACGGUAACAGGCCUUCGGGUGCUGACGAGUGGCGAACGGGUGAGUAAUGCAUCGGAACGUACCCAGAGGUGGGGGAUAACGCAGCGAAAGCUGUGCUAAUACCGCAUGUGAUCUGAGGAUGAAAGCGGGGGACCGAGCAGCAAUGUUUGGCCUCGCGCCUUUGGAGCGGCCGAUGUCGGAUUAGCUAGUUGGUGGGGUAAAGGCCUACCAAGGCGACGAUCCGCAGCUGGUCUGAGAGGACGACCAGCCACACUGGGACUGAGACACGGCCCAGACUCCUACGGGAGGCAGCAGUGGGGAAUUUUGGACAAAGGGCGCAAGCCUGAUCCAGCAAUGCCGCGUGCGGGAAGAAGGCCUUCGGGUUGUAAACCGCUUUUGGCAGGAACGAAACGGUGUCCGCUAAUACCGGGCGCUAAUGACGGUACCUGCAGAAUAAGCACCGGCUAACUACGUG
This 492-nucleotide ribosomal RNA is filed under the name uncultured bacterium. RNAcentral describes it as "partial 16S ribosomal RNA". It matches the Rfam family "Bacterial small subunit ribosomal RNA", at positions 29 to 507 of the family's 1533-position model. The record is from RNAcentral.